RNAcentral lists this small RNA (60 nucleotides) under Carnobacterium divergens. RNAcentral describes it as "L13_leader". It matches the Rfam family "Ribosomal protein L13 leader". Rfam says of the family: This family is a putative r-protein leader autoregulatory structure found in B. subtilis and other low-GC Gram-positive bacteria. It is located in the 5' untranslated regions of mRNAs encoding the L13-S9 (rplM-rpsI) ribosomal protein operon. Lineage: Bacteria; Bacillati; Bacillota; Bacilli; Lactobacillales; Carnobacteriaceae. The record is from RNAcentral.
GGUAUUGUUUGCCCCCACGAUGAGCCCCGGAAACUUAUUGUGCAUUCAAACAAACAGAUA